GUUCUGAAUGUGAAGAUGGGACACACUUUGCCUGGUGCGCUGGGGUUUUUCUCCCUGAAUAUACUCCUCUACUGUGGACAUGCUCAAGAUAAACCUCAGCCUGACCUCACUGUGUCUCUAUUAUGGCUGAGUCCUGGAGCCUCAGUAACUCUGAACUGCAGUGUUUAACAUCCAUCUGCAGGAUGGAGGUUCUUUUGGUAUAAGGCUGUUCCCAGACCGUCAAACAACUCCUUCUACAGCUUUCAGCGUCUACCUGGCAGCAUCCAUGGGA
Molecule: non-coding RNA, 271 nt
Organism: Epinephelus lanceolatus (giant grouper)
Lineage: Eukaryota; Metazoa; Chordata; Actinopteri; Perciformes; Serranidae
Source: RefSeq, a predicted model, not a curated record